This 499-nucleotide ribosomal RNA is filed under the name uncultured Glomeromycotina. RNAcentral describes it as "partial small subunit ribosomal RNA". It matches the Rfam family "Eukaryotic small subunit ribosomal RNA", at positions 591 to 1092 of the family's 1831-position model. Lineage: Eukaryota; Fungi; Glomeromycota. The record is from RNAcentral.
CCAAUAGCGUAUAUUAAAGUUGUUGCAGUUAAAAAGCUCGUAGUUGAAUUUCGGGAUCAAUAUGUCGGUCGUGCCUCGGUACGUACUGGUAUCAUUGGUUUCUCCCUUCUGAUGAACCAUGAUGCCAUUAAUUUGGUGUCGUGGGGAAUCAGGACUGUUACUUUGAAAAAAUUAGAGUGUUUAAAGCAGGCUCACGCUUGAAUACAUUAGCAUGGAAUAAUGAAAUAGGACGUUUGAUUCUAUUUUGUUGGUUUCUAGGAUCGACGUGAUGAUUAAUAGGGAUAGUUGGGGGCAUUAGUAUUCAAUUGUCAGAGGUGAAAUUCUUGGAUUUAUUGAAGACUAACUACUGCGAAAGCAUUUGCCAAGGAUGUUUUCAUUAAUCAAGAACGAAAGUUAGGGGAUCGAAGACGAUCAGAUACCGUCGUAGUCUUAACCAUAAACUAUGCCGACUAGGGAUCGGAUGAUGUUAAUUUUUUAAUGACUCAUUCGGCGCCUUACG